Molecule: ribosomal RNA, 459 nt
Filed under: Parastagonospora avenae
Lineage: Eukaryota; Fungi; Ascomycota; Dothideomycetes; Pleosporales; Phaeosphaeriaceae
Description: eukaryotic LSU rRNA
Rfam family: 5.8S ribosomal RNA (bases 104-257)
Source: RNAcentral
UGCAUAUUGAUUAGCGGAGGAUCCUUGCCAGGGUGGACUGGCGGAUUACAAUUCGAUAAGCGUUUUAAUUUUUAAUCAGCGCCUGAAAAAACUUAAUAAUUACAACUUUCAACAACGGAUCUCUGGGUUCUGGCAUCGAUGAAGAACGCAGCGAAAUGCGAUAAGUAGUGUGAAUUGCAGAAUUCAGUGAAUCAUCGAAUCUUUGAACGCACAUUGCGCCCCUUGGUAUUCCAUGGGGCAUGCCUGUUCGAGCGUCAUUUGUACCUUCAAGCUUUGCUUGGUGUUGGGUGUUUGUCCUCUCCCUGGUGUUUGGACUCGCCUUAAAACAAUUGGCAGCCAGUGUUUUGGUAUUGAAGCGCAGCACAAGUCGCGAUUCUGACCUAGCAACACUUGCAUCCACAAGUCUUUUUAACUUUUGACCUCGGAUCAGGUAGGGAUACCCGCUGAACUUAAGCAUAU